This 497-nucleotide ribosomal RNA is filed under the name uncultured bacterium. RNAcentral's name for it is "partial 16S ribosomal RNA". It matches the Rfam family "Bacterial small subunit ribosomal RNA", at positions 28 to 507 of the family's 1533-position model. The record is from RNAcentral.
GACGAACGCUGGCGGCGUGCCUAAUACAUGCAAGUCGAACGGAAAGGCGAGGAGCUUGUGCCUUUCUCGAGUGGCGAGGGGGGGAGUAAAACAUGAGGAAAAUCCACUUAAAAGUGGGGUAAAAUCUCGGGAAACCGGCGAAUAUACCGGAUAAUAUACUGAAACGUGUGGGGGGAUAGAGAAAAUCGGCGUUUGUGUCUCGUAUAGCUGGUUCCGCGCCGCAUUAGCUGGUUGGUAAGGUAACGGCUUACCAAGGCAACGAUGCGUAGCCGACCUGAGAGGGUGAUCGGCCACACUGGAACUGAGACACGGUCCAGACUCCUACGGGAGGCAGCAGUAGGGAAUCUUCCGCAAUGGGCGAAAGCCUGACGGAGCAACGCCGCGUGAGUGAUGAAGGUCUUCGGAUCGUAAAACUCUGUUAUUAGGGAAGAACAAAUGUGUAAGUAACUAUGCACGUCUUGACGGUACCUAAUCAGAAAGCCACGGCUAACUACGUG